GGUCAAGCUACAAAGGGCGCAUGGUGAAUGCCUUGGCACUAGGAGCCGAAGAAGGACGUGAUAAGCUGCGAUAAGCCUUGGGUAGCCGCAAAUAGGCAGAGAUCCAGGGAUUUCCGAAUGAGGGAACUCACAUGGGGAACCCCAUGUAUCAUGCACUGAAUACAUAGGUGUAUGAGGGUAAACCCGGGGAACUGAAACAUCUAAGUACCCGGAGGAAGAGAAAGAAAAAUCGAUUUCCUAAGUAGCGGCGAGCGAACGGGAAAGAGCCCAAACCAGAAACUUGUUUCUGGGGUUGAGGAUAGAUCAUAAAAGAAGAGGUAUCUUAAUCGAAAAGGGCUGGAACGCCCUACCAUAGAAGGUAAUAGUCCUGUAGAUGAAAAGAGAAAACUUCGAGAUCUAAUCCAGAGUACCACGAGACACGUGAAACCUUG
RNAcentral lists this non-coding RNA (431 nucleotides) under Clostridium tepidum. RNAcentral describes it as "bacterial LSU rRNA". It matches the Rfam family "Bacterial large subunit ribosomal RNA", at positions 1 to 436 of the family's 2925-position model. The record is from RNAcentral. Lineage: Bacteria; Bacillati; Bacillota; Clostridia; Eubacteriales; Clostridiaceae.